UGUGUUGCAGCUCAGUGGCAGAGCGCUCGCCUGGCAUGUGUGAGGCACUGGGUUCAAUCCUCAGCACCACAU
This is a non-coding RNA of Ictidomys tridecemlineatus (thirteen-lined ground squirrel), 72 nucleotides long. The record is from Rfam. Lineage: Eukaryota; Metazoa; Chordata; Mammalia; Rodentia; Sciuridae.